AGUCCAGAGAGGAGUGGGCAGUGUCCUUCUGAAAUGGAUUUUCACAUAGUGGCGUUUUAGAAGGUAUUUAAAUCAUACAGAUCUGACCCAUUCUGGGUAUGGUUUUAUGCAAAGAAGUCUUAUGAAGUUUUCAACAUGGCCGCUAACUUGGGGGCAUUUCAUGGUUCAAAUUUUUGGUCCCUUUCUGAAACUUAAAGGUGCUUCCAAUUAACAAUAACUUUGAACAUUGACCCCUGAAGUAUGGGUAUGCCUCUCCCCCCCCCGGUGGUCUUUCUGUGGAUACACAUGGCAGUCUAUGUGCACGCAACUAAGACAAGCAGAAGUUCACCAGUAUAUUCCCCAGAAAAGGUAUGGCAUUGAUUUAAAACUUCAACAUUAUUUUCCAGGUUGAGAGACUGGAAACAUCAGAGCAAGUAAGCCUAAAAAUAGCCUUGUGUUUUUCUGGUUACUAUAUCUUUCAUAUAGAACUCAAAAUUAGUGAAAAAGAAGACCAAAUGUUAGGAACUUUAAUGGCACAGAAAUAAUGCUUCUUUUUUUGUCUUAUAAACCAGUUCUUUUUUAGAUUUUUUUCUCCCACCAAGUUACUGCUUAAAAAAACAGAAAAUUUAAACUUUCUGGUGGAUUCCUCCCCAUUAAAGGACUAAAAUCGCAUUUUUGUACUCUGUACAUAUCAAUUGGAUUCUUACUGAGCAUUUUAAUUUAUCCUUGAGGUACUUGAUGAGAGCAUCUAAGUUAUAAUUUAGCAUACAGAUAAAAAAUGUAAGAUGAAUGUGCCCAUCCAUAUGAUGAAAUAGUUGUAGUAAAAUGUUAAGAACUAUUUAACUGCUAGGAAAUUAAAAUAUCCUAAAUUAGCAUGUUAAUAGUAUUUAUACUAUUUUUACAUUUUUAUCCAAUCUUGCAUUUCCAAACUGGCAUUAUCUAAAUUAGUUGAACUUUGCAGUGUUCAAAAAAUCUCUGUUUUACUUGAUCUAUUGCAUCUGUGGGCAUAAAGCUUCUAUAUUAUUUGUUCGGCUCAAAGCAGGUUUUAGUACUCAGUGUUGUUUAUGACAUACAAUUUUAUUCUAGCUCUGAAAUAAUUUUCCUUGCUGUGAUUCAGUUUUAAGUCUUUAUAGAAACCCCCUAAUGAAUCACUGAGUCACUAACCAGAAAAAUGAGUUAACUUUUUGCUUCCAAAACAGGACAGUAGGAAGAUAUUUAGGAGCUUAUAAUCUCAUAUCACCAUCAUGGCAAAAUAUUGGAAAUCCAUUUUCUCUUUCACUGAGGUGUCCUGCUGGUUACUUGCACGUGCCCAGAGCCAUAAAGACAGGUUUAUCUCUGGGAAUUUCCCAAAAUGGAAGCAUUUUUGUAUAAUAUUGAUUCAUGUCUGUCUAGCCAAAGAUGUAUUUUCCAUCUAGCAAGAAACAUCAGCCCCAAGUUAUAGGGGUACAAGCUACUCCAAAGACAUCCUGUCUGCUGAGCCCUAAAAAAGGAUACAGACAAGUCAGCCAGCGUUCACAGUUAAGAGAAAAACAUCUGUGCCUCGGAAAAUAUUCUUAAGUACAGAGCAUUGUGCUCUGUGUCCACCAAAUUUCCAUGCAGUCUUUGUAAGGGUAGCCAGCCAGUGGGUAAGGUCCCUCAUCUUCCUUCAUGGGUGGCUGAGGAAAUUCUUUGCCUUCCCCACCAACAACUGCAUAACUGUAUUUUUGACUUGUGGAAAUAAUUGGCUGAUCAGGCACUUGGGAUUUGUUAUUAACACAGGGAAAGAAUAUUUGAUUUUUAAAAGUAUGUGUUUUGAUUUGCAGAAUGAUCCAAAACAAUAUACUUCUUUGUACUUUGGUUUUUCCAUUUAAAAGCUUACAGAUGCAUGAAGUCAUUUGAAACUGCCUGAUGUGAAGUAUAAACACAAGACAGAGAAGUGAAAACUCUGAGUUUACCUACUUAAAUGGUCACCAUUAUUUGGGAUGAUUGACAUUUUAUAAGAAGCUCAGGUUUCAUUUUCCUGGAAGUGGGCUUUUAUCAGCCAGCCCUCACCCGUCCUAAGUGACUUGUCAGCUCUCUUCUAAGACCGCUUGUUUUCACUAAAGGGUAAAUACUUGCCAAGCAAAUUUGCAAAUAUUUAUAAGACAUCUAAUGUCCUAGAGGAAGACUUGCUGAUGAUUAGAUAAAAGGGCCAGCAUUAUUGCUGUUCCCCAAUCAUAUGGACUUUGUGCUUUCGUGACUGAAGAGGCACAUUUUUAACUUGCUGAAAUUGUCACUGAACAACGUGCAGUGAAAUCCAUUCAUCAAGCAUUCUCUUGAACCAUCUCUAAGAGUGACUGACUGCCAACUUUAGGAAGCAAAUACCAAUGUGGAUACUCUCCAAGAUAUCAUCUAUUGAUCAUCUUGGGAUUCAGACUUUCCCACACUGAAUAUGAUGCUGUCAUGAAGCAUUUGCUGGGGCUAACAUGCCAGGUGACUCAGUGGUAAAGAAUCCUUCUACCAGACAUGGCUUCGAUCCCUGGGUCAGGAAGAUCCCUUGCAGUAGGAAAUGGCAACCCACUCCAGUAUUCUUGCUUGGAGAAUCCCAUGGACAGAGGAGCCUGGUGGGCUAUGGUCCAUGGAGUCGCAAAGAGUCGGAUAUGACUGAGUGAGCACGCAUACACGCACGCAACAUAACAUAGCUGUUCUGUACUGUACUUUCUCACUGGGAGGUAUACGAUGUUCUCUGUUUUAUAGAAGAGGACCUACCCCUGAAAAGAUAAGAAAAUUUCCCAGUGACUCAGUGGUAAGUGGUAGAGCCAGGUCUUGAACCCAGGAUCAACACUGAGAGCCCUACUUUCUAUCCUGCCUGCCACAGCUUCCAGAAAAUGGGUCGGUGGCUGAGUUGAAUCAGGUGUUCAGUGGCACAAUGUUCUGUGAUAGGUCAAAGAAAGUUGUUGUUAAAAAAUUACCUAAAUCAUCUUAGUCCUGUCCUUACCUAUGUGACGCUUGUUUGUGCACAUCCAAAUUCAAGUGCUGACAAUUAUUAGAAGUAACAACCAACUUAUUAUUGAAAGCAAGAAAAUUGAGAUCCAUACUAUCAUGUCCACAAAUCAGAUAACUGGCUUAAACAUGUGGGUGAGGGAACCCACUUGCUGUGUAGGUUACUGUUUUUUCCAUCUUUUGUUACUUUUGUCUGUAAGUCAAGAUAAUUUUUUUAAUUAAUUUGUUUUCAAUUUAUUUUGAUUGGGGGAUGAUUAUGAUAUUGUAAUGGUUUUUUUGCCAUACAUCAACAUGCAUUGGCCACAGGUAUACAUGUGUCCCCACUAUCCUGAACCCCUCUCUGACCUCCUUCCCCACCCCAUCCUUCUGGGUUGUCCCAGAGCACUGGCUUUGGGUUCCCUGCUUCACUCAUUGAACUUGCACUCAUCUAUUUUACAUAUGGCAAUAUAGAAAAUAAUUGUAAUACUUAAAUAACUGAUGUAAAGCCCUUGGGUAAAGAGUGUUUAGCAGAUAGUAAGGGCUUGGUUCUUUUUAGCUCCCACUGUCAUCAUCAUCACUGUUUCCUGGAGAAUGUGGACAAGGAUGUGAAGGUGAUGGGGGUGGUUUGGAGUGUGACCUGAGGCUGGGUUGCUGGGCGAAGAUACCUCUGUAGUUAGUAGCUGCCUUGUCUAAGAAGGCAGUUACUGCUAGUUGCCGAAUCUUAUAUUUGAACAAGCUUUCAUCAUUCAGGCUGUUUAAUGAAGAAGGAUUCCGAUGCACCAAAUUUAUUUAGGAGACUUGGUUAAUCCUUGGGGCAUUUAAAGUGAACAAUUUAUAUUUGAGAAAGAUUCCUAUUUGGAGAUAAAUAUUAAUACUCAUUUUGAAAAUAUUCACUAGCUAUUGUGUUGCCCCUUUCUCUUUACUUUUGAAAUAGAAUAACGUAUUCAACCAAGCCUACCAGGGCUGUGCUAACAGUUCAUCCAACCAGAACCACAUUCCGUCUUACCAGUCCGCCAGCUCCUUCAACAAUGACCCCUCUCAUUUCUGGUGCUCAGCUGAGGCCGUAUUCUCGGAGGCUCCCAGCUCUAAGAAAGACGCUGAUGGCACCUCUGAUGACAGCUGGGCACAUGACCUGGGUGUCCUCCCUUUUGCAGCAAUGAUUGAUUCAAGGUUGAAUAUAUAAUACACCUUUGCAGUGAGGCUGAACUGUAAAUCAACCUAGCACUUUUGCUUGAGACACAGGCCAAGAAUCAUCCUCUCUCCUCACUGGACUUGAAACUGUGAGGCUCUGAGUCUGGAGCGUCUGGCAAGAAGUGUGCUUCCCUGAGAAGCAGAGAGAUGGAGAUAAGGUGAGUUGUGAUGCUAUCAUCUGAGGCAGUACUUCUGGUCACACCUGCGGUCACCUGUUCCGGGACUUCUUCAGUUUCAAGAGCUGAUAUAUUUAGGUUUUUUUUUGUUUGUUUGUUUUUUUUUGGCUUAAGCCAGUUUGAGUCAUUUCUUUUCUAUAACUGAAAGAGUUCUGAUUGAUACUAGAUGAUUGCUAGGUUGGUUUCAUAUUCCAUGUGGAAAAUUCUUGCUCUUUUAGAGAAGGGAGAGGGAAUCUAAGAAACCUUAGUGCCAGGAAAUUUUGCCUAGAAACAAACUAGUGGGCAUCUGGCCUGGUCAAGGGAGGCAGACCAGCUAGAAUUCAGAAUUAAAGUCUGUCUUAAACUAUCAUGAGAAUAUAUUAAUUCAAAUUAAAAUAUAUUAUUUUUAAGCAUUUGUGAUCAUUUAAAGUAUUUUGGGGGCUGGUGGCUCAGUGGUAAAGAAUCUUCCUGCCAAUGCAGGAAAUGUAGGUAUGAUCCCUGGGUGGGGAAGAUCUCCUAGAGAAGGAAAUGGCAACCUGCUCCAGUAUUCUUCCCUGGAAAAUCCCAUGGACAGAGGAGCCUGGCAGGCUACAGUCCACGGGGUCACAAAGUGUCAGACACAACAGUUUCCUCAACUGUAUAAUGGGCAUAUCCAGAGUGCCUAUCUCAAAUAAUCAUUAAGGUACAGCGAACAGAAUGUCUAAUACCUCCUCAAUAAAUAUAAGCUAUCACUAUUAAUAAUGCUCUGAACGGUUCUCUUGGGAUUGUGUGAUGCAUCAUAUUAUAUCUCUGAACCAGAACUAAGAGUCAAAAUAGUGUAAACUAGAAGUACAAGCUCUCCAGAAAGAAGAUAUUAGGGUUUUUAAAUAUUCCUUAGGCUAACUAGGAUUUGUUUGCUAGCUCUUUCAAGUUGAUAAGUAAAGGGAAAUCUAAGAACUGGUUGUUUUCUUCUAUUUAGUGAAGGACAAAGUUAUCUAAUGAUUGUUCCUCUUGCUGCCCUAAGUUGUCAAUGACAGUCCCUCUCCUGAUGGAAUUAAGAGUUCAGACCCAGCUUUACCUCCUGGGCACUUAAAAACACAAUGAAAAACAAAAACCACAGCACAAAUCCAAACCUCAUCACAUUCAGUUUCUUUACUUAGUACUAAGGGUAGGAACUCUUAGCUCCAUUUUAUAGGUGCGAAAACGCAGUCUCAGAAAGGAAGGACUGUUGAGGAACACACAGCUCGUACGCGGUGUAGCUGGGAUGUGGCUGCCCUCUUAGCCACCGCAUGUUCCACCCUUGCCUCUGAACUCUCCAGUCUAGCAGGGUGAAGUCCCCACCCUCCGGCUCCUGAGCCCACAUGUGUUCAGUAUAGGUCUGAGAGCAUCAGCAGGCCUCGUUCCUAAGAGUUAGUUCCCCCACGGCCAUCUGAAAGGCUGGUAGUGGGAUUUUCCACUAGCAAACUACAGGCUGUGGGAGCAGAGCUGGAUCACUCUGAGGAAAAAAGAUGUCUUUCCUGGGAAGAAUUGUUCUAUUCUUAUUACAUCUGCCUGCUGCUCUGAAAAUUUGGAGAUGUCUCACUGUGGAAGGACAGCCACUCUUCCCUAGUGAACCUCUCAAUAAUUGAUUUGAUUAUAUGUAGUUAAUAUAGAAACCAGAUGUAGGUAAAAUGUACCUACUCUUUUUUUUUAAUGCUGAAAAGGGGGAAAUAGAGAUGUUUAUUUGAAACAAAUGAUUUAUUUCACAUGAAUUUUUGUAUAGAUGACAUGCCUUGUUCUAUGAUGAAUUUAUUUAUAAGAUGAAUUUAAAACAGUGGUAAUAAACACCUUCCAUCACCCUUACCAUCUUUGAAGUGUCCCCUAUCACAAUGAUGGCUGUUAUCUGAGGUCUGUUGUUACUGUUAGAUGUUAUUAUUGGCUUGCCUUGUCUCCCUGUGGUGUGUGUGUGGUAUGGGGGGGUGGUGUCACUUCGUGACAAUAUAAAUUAACAAAAGGUAUGAGCAGAGACUGAAACAGCAUCGAACAAAUGAAUACUAGUGACCCUCAUCACAUACCAAAGACCAGGUGUGUGUUCUCGAAGAGUCAGGACCACCACACUCACUGCACAACAUCAAGGGCCCAUUUGCAUCAGAUUCAGACAUCCAAGGUUCCUUAGAAGCCAAAGGGGACUGUGCUCGGAUAUGAUGGAGAGGGAAGGGCUGAAAUGUGGUGGAGGUGCACGUGUGUGGCUUCUUGGCUGCUCAGAGUUCAGUUACCCUAUUUCUAAUAGCUCCUCACUUUAACUGGGAAUCUACUCUUCUCCUACUCCAAAUGUAGGUAGAGCUAAUUUCACCCCCAGCUCUAAAGGUACCUGUGACCCAGGUCCGACCAGUCAUCUUCCCCUGACUGCAGAGACGGGUCAUGACAAGCCACUAGGACUCACAUUCCUUGGUUGAAGCUUCUGAGAUAGAGCCUGACAGAGAGACUUAGCCUGAGUACAGGCUGGCCUGCUCCUGAGAAAUUUCUGAGCUUUUGGGCCCAAGUGUAAAACUGUUUUGAUUU
Dama dama (fallow deer) is the source of this 6785-nucleotide long non-coding RNA. RefSeq lists it as uncharacterized. The transcript has 4 exons. Lineage: Eukaryota; Metazoa; Chordata; Mammalia; Artiodactyla; Cervidae. The record is from RefSeq and is a predicted model, not a curated record.